This 951-nucleotide long non-coding RNA is filed under the name Homo sapiens (human). Its description in RNAcentral is "long intergenic non-protein coding RNA 1490". The record is from RNAcentral. Lineage: Eukaryota; Metazoa; Chordata; Mammalia; Primates; Hominidae.
GGCACUCCAGGAAGAUGAAGCUUGCUUUGCUGUGACUAAAGAGAACUUGUAAGGAAGCCUGUGUCCAUAGAUUGUCAUGUGUAUGCAGCUGUAGUCUGGGAGGUCUGAUGUUAGGGAAAAAGAAGGAGGAAAGCAAGAUUAAAAAUCAUUCCUGGAAAUGCAAGAGAAAAUGUGCUGGAGUGGUGCUGUUAGUACCAGGGACACUGGACAAGAAAGAUAAGCAAGCCACUGCUGUCUGAUUCCUACAUAGCAGGUUAAAGUGUUGGAUUCAUAAUUCUCACUUCAGGAAGACUGAAAACCAGACUUUAUUCUGCUAGAUCCCAAGAUAUCAAGGAAGAGGAAAAGGGAAGAGCCCCAGGCACUAUUAAACCACAGCUACAAUCACUGCCAUUUGAAACUUCCCACCAAACAACUUUACUAUUCUGAUUUAAUUUCAACUCCCAGGGAGAGUUAGUAUUAAGAGGAAGUACCUAUCAUCCAUGAUAAUCCACCAGCUCUGGGGGUUUAGAAGGGAAAGGAUGGAGGUCUCAGUGCUUGAGGCUAGGCUGACAGCUGAGCAGGGCUCCAGCUCACCUUAAUCUCACUCCUGUGGAUGCCUGCACUAGGGGCCUGAGCAUUCUCCCAGAUCUCUGCAUAGGAGGCUGCCCUUAGGCAUUAUUAAGGUGUGAAAGCAGCAAGAAAGAGCAGAAUUAAACUGCUUUUCUCUAAUGUAUCCUUUUACAGCCCAGUGUAUUUUGCCCUAGGCUAGCCUUUUCUUCUCCUUUCACCCUCCACAUGCCAGUCCGAGACAGCCUUUCUUCUCACAGGAAUUAUUGUAUUAUUUCUUAAAUUCUUUUUUUCUUCUCCAUGGCUUUUCUAGAGGAAACCUAACAGUGUGGGUUUAUCAAUCAUUUUGACAAGACUCUGAAUUCCACUGAACAGAUUUUUGAAUAAAAAUUAUGAACAAAGAAA